UUGGAUGUGAUGAUACUUUCCCCAAAUGAUCGACGCUGAUUACACUAUGCUGGUGUUUUUAUCACAUUCUGUCUGAUCCAU
Cucumis melo (muskmelon) is the source of this 81-nucleotide non-coding RNA. Lineage: Eukaryota; Viridiplantae; Streptophyta; Magnoliopsida; Cucurbitales; Cucurbitaceae. The record is from Rfam.